CCGACGGACAGGUUCGUCGGAAUCGGUCUAUUCCGACGAAUUUCCGACGAUUUCGGCCAUCAGAAUCCCCCUGUUUUCUUGUAGUGACUCUCCUCCGACAUGCUCUGCUUGUGGUUCUCUGCAUCUACCCCGUCUUCGAAUUCACCCCCCGCUGCUACUGACGUUCCGUUACCUUCGAUGCCUUGAACAUCAUCGCUUCUUCCAUCAGAACUGGGUAGUUAUACGUGUGUAAGUUGAUCAUUAGUGGGUGUAGGUUGAUGUUAUUGUAGACUUAGAAUUUGAUAUUGUAGUUUACUCAACGAAACAUAUUAUUUUAUUUCAUGCUAAACCGGAUAUAAUUAACAAAAUAUAUUCUUUUAUUUUAUAUAUGCAUAUAUUUAACAAACGUAAUAUAUAAAUAUAACAUUAACUAUCAAUUGUAUACACAUAUAAUUUGAAUAAACACGUUAUUUUCAAGCUAAAUUUGGCUUGAAGGCAACUCCAAUACCAAACCAAACAAUACAUAUAAGUUUUGUUGCUUAUUCUUGAAGUCUAUAAAUUUUAGGAUUAGAUUACUAAUUUUUAUUAAAUUGUUAUUUUCAACUAAAAUUUUCACCAUUCAAGUUAGAUUAUUUAUUUUUACUAAUUUCAUUGUUUUGUUUGUUGUAUUCACUAUUUUUUAUUUUUUCAAAUAAUUUUUGUUAAAAUAUUUGUUUGAUUAUCUUUUAAUCAUUAUUGUUAAUUUUUUGAACCAUAUUUUUUUGGUUAAUUUUUUAUAAGUUUGAUCUUAUUGACCUAAAAAUGGAAAGCACUGGUUUUGAUAAUAUUGGUACUGCAGUAGUUAUAGAUAAAAAAAAACUGUUUUAAUAUCGAUUUUGUGGGUUUACGUUACUUCUUUUCUCUGGGUUCAUAAGACAAUGUGUAUGUGUCGCAGUUUCAUUGUUUCAUUCUUGAACAAUGAGUCAGACCCAGAAAAGGACUCUGCUGCAGUUCAAGACUUCUUUUCCAAGAUGGAAGCUGCUUUCAUGGCUCAUCCAAUUUGGUCCGGUUGUUCUGAGGAUGAACUAGACAGCGCUGGAGAUGGUCUAGAGAAGUAUGUCAUGACAAAGCUGUUUCCCCGUGUCUUUGCUUCAAACACAGAGGGGAUGUUAUAUCUGAUGAGAAACUCUUUCAGAAGAUGUCUUUGGUUCAACAGUUCAUUUCUCCUGAAUAUCUUUGUAGAGUUUUGUGGGACAAAUUUGGAGGUGGCAUCGUUUAAAAAAAAAUAACUGGAUCGCUUUAGCUCAAUUCUAUAAACCAACCUUUUUCGGGCUGUGUUGGUUUCUGGCCAAAUCUUCUCCAUAGAUAUUCAAUCGCAAGAGGUUAUCUAAUCUAACAUGAAGCCUAUCGUUCCCGAUUUUCCUUCCCCGGUGAAGAAACGCUCCGCCGUUAUGGCAAUCAAUCAACACGACCCACUAAUCCCACGUUCUCCUCCUCACUAUAUAUGAACAGAGCAGGACUUCCUUUGCUCGAGAUUGUAUCUGAAAUUCAUAUGGACUGUGAGGAGGUAUUUGGGAGUGAGUAAUGUGAAUAUGCAAGAAGACGUUCUCCCUUGUGAUGUUUAUAUCUCAAUCAGGCAAGCUAAGUUUUGGGACCACAGUCAAUAUGUUUCUUUCUUUUUGUUUAUAUAUUCCGAGUUUAAUCAAUGAUCAACUCAUUCGAGCUUUUGUUGAGAAAGGCAGACUAUAAGAGGAUGAGGGUCGUAACUAUUGUAUGCUCUACUCUGUGGUACCCUUCCUUUUGAUGAUGAAAAUAUUCCCAAAAUUUUCAAGAAGAUAAAGGUACUCUACUUUGAUUCAGCUCAAUGACUCUUCUAAGUUAGAAAUGCAACCUCAUGGUAGUGCUCCAAGAAGCUCCAGCGAGAUGUAACUGGCAUCGGAUUUGAUGAUUCAAAUGUUGUUGGUAUCUUCAGGUAACCAACGUUUAGCUUAACAGACUGUGAACUUAUUUUGCAGCUAACUACAUCCUCUACCCUUAACUCUUCAUCUAGCAUGUAUCAUGGUGUUGUAUUGCAGGUACCGUGUGGAGUUGUCCAUUUCAGACAAAACCGAUGAUGUUGUGUUCGUCGCCCGUACAGCUUUCACGAGUUACAACACCUGAUGGUCUCAAUAUACUUGACGCUCUGCAACAAGCAAUAUAAAUGGUGUAACUAAUAUUGUUUACAGAGAGAUUUUCAAAGACCUUAGGACAGGUGGGUUCCAGCUCUACCUAUUACAUGUGACAGCUAGGAUUUGCGAAGGCUACUUCAUCCUAAACAAACGUACUACCAACUAUCCAGUGACUGGAAUAGCUAAGAGUGUGUCUUCGUGCAGCUGUGUCCCAAAGAUUUUUUUAUCUAAGUUUAGUGCAUUGAUUCACCAGUCACCCCGUGCUUGGUUGUUGUUUUCAUGUUAAAUACGAGAAGAAGAC
Molecule: long non-coding RNA, 2427 nt
Organism: Brassica napus (rape)
Lineage: Eukaryota; Viridiplantae; Streptophyta; Magnoliopsida; Brassicales; Brassicaceae
Exons: 3
Source: RefSeq, a predicted model, not a curated record